RNAcentral lists this long non-coding RNA (774 nucleotides) under Homo sapiens (human). Its description in RNAcentral is "HSALNT0393690". Lineage: Eukaryota; Metazoa; Chordata; Mammalia; Primates; Hominidae. The record is from RNAcentral.
AGAGCUGAGAGCCACCUACUAGCGGCAGGUGGAGCCUCGAGACGGGUGCUGUCGUGGUGAUGGAGGCGCACGCUCGCUUCCCACGCAGUUUGGCCUUUUUGACGUCCCUGGCUGUUGUGGGCAACCGAUUUGGUUGGUCGCGCUGCUUCCUACGCUCGCCGGCGGAGCAGCUAGUGGCACCUGCUCGGAGAGAGGGAGUGGAUCUCUCGGAAGUGCUUGGGGUUUCGCUGAAGCGGACCUGAACAGACCAUGUGUCCUUUAAAUACAGCCAUGCUUUUAGAAACGGACUGUCACUUUAUGUGGACUCAACCAUUGAACAGAAUGUGUGCUUUUGUGAGUGCUGCAAUUCCUUCAAGUGUAAUUGCGCUACUGCAUUUUUGUUGGUCGCAGGGAAGGGGUGUGCCUGCAAAUGUCCGCGUGGUUCGUCCUCAGCCUCUUCCUUUUUACACUGUGCUAGGAUGUUUACUUGCUUGUGGUGGAGGUAGGGGAAGCCAGUAUUUGUGUACUGUGUACUGUCCUGAACCGGCUUUCAUUCCUAACUUUUCAAAGAUUGCUUUAAAGGGGGGGGGGCGCGGGUCAAAUAUUGUUUUAAAGGGGGGGACGGGGUGAGGUCAAUGGUGUGUGCCUUGUAAGUAGAAAUGAAUGAAAGGAAUUUUACUAAUGUGUCACUCAAUUGUUUGAGCUCCUUCUGUUUUGCAUGCCAAAAAUAUAAGGCAAGGAAAAAUGUAUCAUUCUAUCAUGAUUUUAUGGUGCUCUAAUUAAAGGUGUCUUCCC